Molecule: ribosomal RNA, 497 nt
Filed under: uncultured bacterium
Lineage: Bacteria
Description: partial 16S ribosomal RNA
Rfam family: Bacterial small subunit ribosomal RNA
Source: RNAcentral
GAUGAACGCUGGCGGCGUGCCUAAUACAUGCAAGUCGAGCGAACAGAUAAGGAGCUUGCUCCUUUGACGUUAGCGGCGGACGGGUGAGUAACACGUGGGUAACCUACCUAUAAGACUGGAAUAACUUCGGGAAACCGGGGCUAAUGCCGGAUAACAUUUAGAACCGCAUGGUUCUAAAGUGAAAGAUGGUUUUGCUAUCACUUAUAGAUGGACCCGCGCCGUAUUAGCUAGUUGGUAAGGUAACGGCUUACCAAGGCAACGAUACGUAGCCGACCUGAGAGGGUGAUCGGCCACACUGGAACUGAGACACGGUCCAGACUCCUACGGGAGGCAGCAGUAGGGAAUCUUCCGCAAUGGGCGAAAGCCUGACGGAGCAACGCCGCGUGAGUGAUGAAGGUCUUCGGAUCGUAAAACUCUGUUAUUAGGGAAGAACAAAUGUGUAAGUAACUGUGCACGUCUUGACGGUACCUGAUCAGAAAGCCACGGCUAACUACGUG